UUGCGAGCUAAGGUUAACCAAUGCUCUUACUAGUUAGCACAAGGUUAACCUGCGUACAAAUAGUGUUUUCCCGUCAAUACACUUUGAAAUGUUCAGUCAUCUGCAGGCAAACAAAAUCCCCUGGUUUGUCAGUCGAUGCGUUUGCAAACUGCAUUGCAACCGAGCCGCCAUGCCAAGUGCGAGCUAAACGGGAGGCUAGCUGGCUAUCUAGCUUAGCCUAUUCACAGCUAACUAAACAACAGCGGCUGCUCAACAUAGCUGCACCAGUCCCCGGUCUCCCUGCUCUGGGCUCUCUGUGUACAUUAGCUCGACAAACGUCACCCGGUCAAGAAAACAAUGUAAAAACAAUCUCACCUCAUUGAAGUAUAAAGUGCAACAGAGUAGAAAGGAAAGCCGGCUGUAAGGCUAAAAUAAUUUCAACGCGUUUGCAGCAUCUACGAGGGGAGGCAUCCGUCCUGCAUGAUCGCCAUUUUCUUAAAUCGCUGUUGGCUAACCUUCUUUCGCUUGAGUUCUGCUUUCCCCUCCUCUCUCUGCAUUCACCUCAGCUCUGGCUUGUGUGUGUUUCUGGAGGGGGGAGACAGAGCAGGAAACGCAUUAACCACUUCCUCUGACUGAGAACCAAACACCAGCGAAAGGUACCUAAAUGGUAUCGAGAGGAUAGUAAAAACAUGUAAAGCAUGUCAACCCUGUUCAAGGUUGCUGCAGUUUUCACCUUCAGUAAUGCCUCCCUUCUUCAUGCACUUUGCCAGUAGGUGAAGUUGUGCCAGAUCCCCAACUCAAAGUUAGGGAGCCAUCUCUGAAAUGGAUUUGCUGUGGCUAAAAUUACACCUGGUCCUCAACCAAUUACCUGAACAUUCAUCCCCCCUUUAGCUGUCAGCGCAUUCACACACAACAAGCUGGAUCCCAACCUAAUCCAUCAAUCGUUUUGCUUGUGAAUU
Micropterus dolomieu (smallmouth bass) is the source of this 938-nucleotide long non-coding RNA. RefSeq lists it as uncharacterized. Lineage: Eukaryota; Metazoa; Chordata; Actinopteri; Centrarchiformes; Centrarchidae. The transcript has 3 exons. The record is from RefSeq and is a predicted model, not a curated record.